Molecule: RNA transcript, 2265 nt
Organism: Bactrocera neohumeralis
Lineage: Eukaryota; Metazoa; Arthropoda; Insecta; Diptera; Tephritidae
Gene name: putative nuclease HARBI1
Exons: 4
Source: RefSeq, a predicted model, not a curated record
UCUAGGCUAUCUCCAACAAUUUUCAGUCUAAUCGGUUCAGCCGUUCUUGGGUUAUAUAUGGUGUAACUAACACGACUUUUUUAUAUACAUACAUAUAUAGAUAUUGAUAACAUCCUCUCUAAGCAGUUUAUGUUCAUAUUUUUAAUUUCGUUACUACUGUUUUUAUGUUUUUUUGCAAAUUUUUGGAAAAUAUAGUCAUCAGUAAUAUUGAAAUUAUUUAUUUUUAAAAUAUUAGUAACUCUUUUAUUAGAGCAUAUAUUUUUUUAUUUUAUUGCCGGUAUUAUCUUCGGCCGGCGUAUUAGGAUUUUCUUCUCCUAAGUAGUUUAAAUUUUGUAUUUUAUAUUCCUGUUUGAUUUGUCACCAUUCUUUUUUUGUUUUAUUUCGCCGGUAAAAAAUUCGGCUGGUGUCUUAGAAUUUUCUUGUCCCAAAUGGUUUAAAUUUUGUGGUUUUAUACGUUUACUUGGUUUUUCACUAUUAUUUUUUUGUUUUGUUGGAUUAUCAAAUGUGGCUCCGGUUUUAUUUAAGAAAUUAAUUCCAAUAAAGAGAUCGCUCUCUAGGUUAUCAGUUUCAUAAAAACGUUCUUGUGCUUACCGUAUUCUUAAUUACUAAGGUGUUUUUGUAUUAUAAAUUCCAGUUCGUAUAUACAUAUGAACUGGUUGCCUUCGUAUCUAUUAAAAUUCUACUGAACGGUUUUCGUAUAUGUUUUUAUAAUAAUGUAUAUAGAAAUCAGAGUUAACCCUUAAAAAGUGGUUUUCGCCAAUAUUAUUAAGUCUUUAAAUUUUUGGUUGAGGUUGUGUGCUUGCUUGUGCAUUUUCAUUUUGCCUCUUUGGUAUUUUUGGUGGUUGGUAAUUGGUUUGCCAAUUGUAUUUGUUACCCCUAGCCUGUUGUUUGUUUGUUUGUAUAGGCCUGGGGUUGCCUGGGUGAAUUGAUUGAUUCACAUCCAUUGGUUCUGGACGAUUGGGUUAUUUUUGAUUCGUAUUAGUAUUCCUUUGCGGAUACUUCAAGUUAUUUUAAAAGUUUCUAUUAAUUGAUGUUAUUUUCGAGAAUCAAUUUCUUUUUUUUUUUUUAGAGAAAUGUAAAGCGAAUUGUGAUCUCAAUUGGUUUGACUGAAGUUCUUGCGCUUUAGCAAGUGUAUUAGGCAAAUCAGUAAGCGUUAAGCUAGCGAAAAUUCACGGAGAAGAAUUUCAAAAACCAAAAAUUUUUAUUAGGUUAUCGAAAGCAUGGAAGACGAUGUAUUUUGUUCCCAUUUUCAAAUGAAGAAAAGUACAUUUCAGAAGUUGCAGAUUGCGAUUAAGCCCUGGUGGAAUUCAAGUGAAACUGGACGUAUAGCAAUAACGUUGAACAAAGCUUUACAUAUAACAAUUUGGAAGCUAUGCAAUAAAUGCUCUUUCAGAGAUGUCAGCGAUCGGUUUGGUGUGGCAGCUGGCCUCGCAUAUAAGGUGUUUCUGAAAAUAAUUAAAAUGAUUUGCCGCUUGAAGGGAGAUGUAAUCAAAUUUCCCAAAACUGCAGCGGAACAAAAACAAGUAAAUGAAGAAUUUACAAACCUGCGGUAUAAUCCUUUUCGUUUUGUAAUUGGAUGCAUCGACGGAACUCAUAUUCCAAUUUCGCAGCCAAUCAAAGAUGAAAUCAGCUAUCGCAACCGAAAGGGAACGUAUUCAAUCAUUGCACAGGCUAUUGUAGAUAGUCGAAUAAGGUUUAUAGAUGCAUUUAACGGCUGUCCAGGUGCAUGCCACAACGCAUCAGUUUGGCAAAGGAGCUCUGUUAGGAAAGCUAUAAUUAGCAAGGAGAUUAAAAUCUGUUCUAAUUACAAUUUGUUGGGCGAUGGAAGGUAUCCAUUAGAAUUGUUCCUAAUGAUGCCCUAUCGUGAUAACGGGUUCUUAACACCAAUGCAGUCAAAAUACAAUGCGAUUCUGUCUUCAACUUGCGUUGUUGUGGAACAGGCAUUUGGCGUUUCAAAAAAAAAUUAGAAUUCUCAAAUACAUACAUCGAAGCUCAACGUCCAUAUAUACCAAAAUUAAUUACAACGGCAUGCAUGAUUGUUCACAACAUAAUAAUUGAAAAUGAAGGCUAUUAAUUCGGUGAAAUAGAUGAAGAAAAAGCACAUACUGAGCCCCAAAUAGUCGAAGAUACGACUACAUCGGGACAAAGGGAGGCAAAUGCAAAAAGGGAUGCACUGGCCACGCCAUUGUCUGCCUAAUUGAAAACAGUUUGGACUUUAAAGUUUUAGUUGUUUUUUAAACUUUAUUAAAUCCAAUAAAGAAAAAA